UGCAGUCGAGGGGCAGCACGGUGUAGCAAUACAUUGGUGGCGACCGGCGCACGGGUGCGUAACGCGUAUACAAUUUGCCUUAUACUGGGAGAUAGCCCGGAGAAAUUCGGAUUAAUAUCCCAUAAUAUUUUUUCACCGCAUGGUGAGAAUCUUAAAGCUACGGCGGUAUAAGAUGAGUAUGCGUCUGAUUAGCUAGUUGGUGAGGUAAUGGCUCACCAAGGCAACGAUCAGUAGGGGGCCUGAGAGGAUUAACCCCCACACGGAUACUGAGACACGGAUCCGACUCCUACGGGAGGCAGCAGUAAGGAAUAUUGGACAAUGCCCGCAAGGGUGAUCCAGCCAUGCCGCGUGCAGGAAGAAGGCGCUAUGCGUCGUAAACUGCUUUUACACCGGAGAAAACCUCCCCUCGUGAGGGGAGCUGAUAGUAUGGUGAGAAUAAGCAUCGGCUAACUUCGUGCCAGCAGCCGCGGUAAGACGAAGGAUGCAAGCGUUAUCCGGAUUUAUUGGGUUUAAAGGGAGCGUAGGUGGCCUUAUAAGUCAGUGGUGAAAGACUGUCGCUUAACGACGGAAUUGCCAUUGAUACUGUAGGGCUUGAGUAUAGUUGCUGUGGGCGGAAUAUGACAUGUAGUGGUGAAAUACUUAGAGAUGUCAUAGAACACCGAUUGCGAAGGCAGCUCACAAAACUAUAACUGACACUGAGGCUCGAAAGUGCGGGGAUCAAACAGGAUUAGAUACCCUGGUAGUCCGCACUGUAAACGAUGAUUACUCGUUGCUGGGAAGCAAUUUUCAGUGACUAAGCGAAAGCGAUAAGUAAUCCACCUGGGGAGUACGCCGACAACGGUGAAACUCAAAGGAAUUGACGGGGGCCCGCACAAGCGGAGGAGCAUGU
RNAcentral lists this ribosomal RNA (889 nucleotides) under uncultured bacterium. RNAcentral describes it as "bacterial SSU rRNA". It matches the Rfam family "Bacterial small subunit ribosomal RNA", at positions 56 to 942 of the family's 1533-position model. The record is from RNAcentral.